This 26-nucleotide non-coding RNA is filed under the name Homo sapiens (human). Lineage: Eukaryota; Metazoa; Chordata; Mammalia; Primates; Hominidae. The record is from RNAcentral.
GACAGGAGACUGGCGGAGCGAGACCC